CUAAACCGUGGAAUUGCAUCUGAAACUGCGUAGCUAGAGUUCGGGAGAGGGCGGCGGAACUCCCGGUGUAGGGGUGAAAUCCGUAGAUAUCGGGAGGAACACCAGAGGCGAAGGCGGCCGCCUGGACCGAAACUGACGCUGAGGCGCGAAAGCGUGGGUAGCAAACAGGAUUAGAUACCCUGGUAGUCCACGCUGUAAACGUUGUGCACUAGAUGCCGGCGGCACUCCGGUGCUGUCGGUGUCCAAGUUAACGCGAUAAGUGCACCGCCUGGGGACUACGGCCGCAAGGCUAAAACUCAAAGGAAUUGACGGGGGCCCGCACAACCGGUGGAGCAUGUGGCUUAAUUCGAGGCUACGCGAAGAACCUUACCCGGGUUUGACAUAUAUCCGCCCGCCUGUGAAAUCAGGUUUUCUCUUCGGAGACGG
This 426-nucleotide ribosomal RNA is filed under the name uncultured bacterium. Its description in RNAcentral is "bacterial SSU rRNA". It matches the Rfam family "Bacterial small subunit ribosomal RNA", at positions 608 to 1029 of the family's 1533-position model. The record is from RNAcentral.